UGCCCGGGACUAUAUUUCCACUCUCCGUCUGUAAUGUUCCUCAGUGGUCUCGGAGUGAUGAUGUCAGCGUCCACAGAGUUUCCACCACAGCACAGAGCCUGCAGAGGGGAAACAACAGCACUACGGCAAAUGGUCAGAGGAGCGGUGCAGUCAGUGAAGCCAAAUGGAGAGGAAUACUCAGACUGAGACCAAAAAAGCAUCUUCUGAGGACCUCCUUCUCCAUGAGAGAUGACGAAGCAAGCAAGCUGCGGCAAGCGGUGCGCACACAAACGCACAUUGCAGACACACACCAAACAGUGUGAGUAACUGGUCAGGCUUGAGUGACUCUCUACCUCGCUGCCUUUAGGGCUUCCUGCAAGUCUUUUGGAAAUGUGCCCUGUCCAUGUGAAGAUCAUCACCUUUUCAGUGGCGGCAGAAUCACGAGUUCAUUAAUGUGAUGAACAAAUUAAUCACUAUUAGCUGGUGUGACAACAGGAAAAGGGACAGACACUUUCGCAUGGGUCACAAAUUCUGUGCAUGUCUGUGAAGCUCAUUCUUGCAACCCUAACAAAGUGGCUAUUUUUUCACUCCAGUGGGUAAACAAGAUGCAGACUUUUCCCAUCAGCCUUAUUAAAAUAACGGGCACAGUCUGGGCAAAUUAACUCCAAAGGAAGUCAGCUUCUCCUUUCUACGUGGAGUGAUUCACAUUGGCCUGGCUGUGGAUGGCGUGCGUGAGGACACAGGUUAAAGAAGACCACAGGUCCUCUUGAUCAGGCCCAGUUUGUCUCUUACUCUCUCACACAAAGACACCAACUCACUGCCGAAAUGGAAACAGACAUUUGCUGCCCUGUUAACGGUGUCCUUAUUUACAUCUGAUGUCAUAGUGUAAAAAACACAGACAAGGUUUCCAUGCUCGAAAGAGAGGUAUCAGGAAAGACUGCUGCCCUGCAAAUGGCGGUACAGAUAGGAUUAAGUUGGAAUUGUUGUAUAAACGGUGUCUGGCCUGAGGAAACACAGCUGUCUGGAGAAGGGGAGGUGAUAGUUAAUAUUUUAGUGAGAGUAGCAAAACGCUGCUCUUAGAUUGAAACAGACCCUAAACAUUCAUCACCAAAUACAAACUGCUUACAUUUAAAUGGCAUCUGUUAUGCAGGUUCCAGUAUUUUAAAAUUCAUUAAUCCAUCGAAUUUUUCCUGACUAUCAAAGCCCAAAUUGGGUUGACAGAUUGGGUCCACUUCUUAGACCUUCUUUGUCAAAGCUGUCAAGAGCUUCCCUCACUUUUAGCGCCUUUGAGCACAAUAGUCUGAUUCUUUUUUGCCCCCUUUAAGCAGAGUGUUAUUAGCAUUAUAGGUUGUUAUUGGUUGAUAUUUGUCAUUUAUGCUAGCGUGCUUGCUAACUUAGUGACAAAAAUGAAUGAAUGAUAAAUGCACCUUGCUAAGUUAGCAAAUACUUUAGCAUUAAUGUUAGCAUACUUGCUAACUAACUACCAACAAAGCUAAGUGGCCAAGUUCCUUGUUUUCCACCAGCUUAGGUGAAACACAGUAAACAGCUAUCAGUUAUAGCUACCUAUACAUGUUUUUAUAAUUUAAUUUUUUUUGGUGUAAAGCUGAAAAUCUUCACAUAAGAGUCUAUGGGGGUGACUCACUUUAGGAGUGAGUCUCCAGUAACCACUUGAGAAACUAGAUUGUGGCAUGUCUUGAUGCAAGCCCUAACAGCCAGGUAAAGAAAUCCCCCAAAAGUCAACUUUUUCGGACAGAUUCUGGCAUGUUGGCAUUUUUCAGCCUUGAAGUUGAAAAAGUAAGAAUGAGAAAACAUUAGAAAAAAAAGCCAUUGUAGCAUCCAGAAGGCUGAGUUUAAGUUGUCAUUUGCUUAUAAACUCAGUUGCUUUUUGUGAUGUGUCCAACAUUUUGCCUGGUCUCUUUGCUCCUCUGGACUCCUGACCAUGAAGUUAGCUCAUUUCACGGGCGUGUGACUUUCUUGUGUGACUCAACAUAUAAUUCAGGCAAUGAAGUGAAGUUAUUAGUACCCCUCACAUGUCAAAUCCAACCCUCACUGUCACUCUUUAAAUGACCCAACCCAAUCUGGUUUCCACAGUAACUUUGCUUUGUAGCAGUGUGUUGUGGAAUCUUUGGUAAGUGCUUCGUCACAGUUUGCAUUCACAACCACCAUCCCUCCUCACCGACCUCUAACAUUUGUUCCCAGCAGUGCAGCAGCUCUUCGCAUCCUGUGCAGAAAAUUCUGACUGAUUCAGACGUGAGCAAUGACGAGGAUCAUUGAGAAUGCUGACAACCUUAAAUUAUGUUGCUCAACUGUCUUCAUCCACUGACUGUCUGCAGCAUGAACUUCUGCAUAACAAGUUUGUUUUCUAUGUUUCUUAUAUUCCUCUAGAAGAGCGGCGCCUUCUUCAUGUUCAGAUUUUCAUUGCAUUUCUAUUCCAGGCAGAGAGCUGAAGGCAAACAGUGGAAGAACAGCCAUAAGUGGGUGUGACAGUCAGUCAGUCAGUCAUGGUUGUUGCUCAUCUCCUCCUUUACUCUUCCAGUCUAUAAGCCAGACAUAUUACCCUCCAGCUUUCUCUUUCCAAACACUUUCCAUUUUCGUUUCUUUCUCUAUCAUUUCACACACACCCCUAUGUAUUUCAUCUCUCCAGUUUUUCCAUCCAGCUGUGGCCGUUUGGCUCUCUUUCUCCAAACUGGCUGUACACAGUUUUGUGAAGCCAGGAUGGAGAACCCCGCAUUACAAACAAGUACUAGAAGGCUGUACAUGUGUUACCGAUUGGCACACCUUAAAACAAAUUUGCCUUCCAGAUUUGGAGGAGGAAACUCCACACAAAACACUUAAUUUCACAUUUUAUACCUUUUAGUUUGAGUAGUUCACCAGAAAAUAAUUAGAUGAGGAAAUUAAUAAUGAAAUUAACACCAGCUUUGUCUACUUAACCUAAAGCUACAGAGCAAUUAACUGAUAAGCUUAGCAACAAAUAGUUCACAAGCUGUUGUUUCUACCCUUUGGAUUUUGUAUAUAUUUGUCAGAAACCUUCAGGACAGAUUUGACCAACUCUGCACUGUGGACCUUUAACAAUCACUGCCCCCUUCAAUUAAUGCAGUAACUCAAUGCAUUUAGACAUGCAGACAUGGUCACGACAACCUGGUGAAAUUCAAACUGAGCAUUAGAAUAGGGGAAAAAGGUGGUUCAAGUGACUUUGAAAUAGAUUUUUGCGCCAGAUGGACUGCUCUGAGUAUUUCAGAAACUGGUGAUUUGUUGGGACUGUUGUGCAACUAUCUCUAGGGUUUAGAGAGAAUGGUCUGAAAAAGAGAAAAUAUCCACCAAGUGGCAUUUCUCUGGGUGAAAAUGGUUUGUUGAUGCCAGAGAUCAGGGGAAAAUGGCCAGACUGCUUAAAGCUAAAAGGAAGGCAACAGUAACUCAAAAAUAGCGACUCCUUUAAACUAAUGCAGAAGAGCAUCUUAGAAUGCGUGGCGCAUUGAACCUUGAAGCAAAUGGGCUUUAGCAGCAGAAGACCACACCAGGUGAUACUUAUGUCAGCUAAGAUCAGGAAAGCGAGUCCACAAUGGCAUAAACGACAUGAAAUACAGAUUUAUCCUGCUCUGUAUCAACAGUUCAGGCUGGUGGUUUGAUGGUGUGGGAGAUAUCUUCUUGGUGCACUUUUGGCCCAUUAGUACCAGCUGAGCAUUGUUUAAACACCACAGCCUACCUGAGUAUUGUUGCUGACCAUGUCUUUCCCUUUUCAACUACAAUGUAACCAUCUUCUAAGACCAACGAACAUUAACGAAUGGUGUUGAACAUAUUUUAACGAAUGCUGGCUUAACUUGAGUAAAGCUAAAAAGUAUUCCAGUAAUUCCAAUAUUGAUCAACUUUCGGUAAAAGUGGCUAUAAGGAUGAAACAUAUCACUCCAACAAUGACUUGGGGCAGAUAGUGAACAAUUUUCUACCAUGAAAGAGAAACAAAUUCCCAGGUCUUCUCACAAAGUCUUGGGAAUAAAAAUACAAGUGAAAAAACUGCAAACACUGUUUAGGAAAGCUCAACAUUUUAUAUUUUACAAUAUUGUGCAGUGAAUACAUCAAGGCGUACAUAGUUGUUUAGGUGAUCUAAAUCUGUGGGCUUUUUUGAUAACUACAGGUUUGUUAGGAUAUAAUGCAAUGAAGAUGUUCCACAUCCCUCCGUCUUGCUUUCAACUGUAUUCCUUUGUGUAAGAAAGUGUUGUUUUGAUAUCAGUGGAAAAAGAUGACAGACACUAAAUUAAACCAAUCAUACUUUAGAAAACAGUUGCAGCAGUUCCAGCUUUCAGAGAUUAUGAGGUAUCCAACUGAGCUUUCAAAUACAAAUCAUUCUGGGAACAAAGAAAUCGUUAUGAAAACAACCAGUGUGAGGGAUAAAUCUUUGCUGCAAAAUAGAUCUUAUGUAUGGAAAACAGAGACAGUGAGCAAAGAAGAGAUGAUAUAAGCCAGGCAGCCUUCCAGGGGCUUUGACAGAGACAGCUCAUAAAUCUGACAGAGAUAUAACAACCCAAGAAAUUAAGUCAUACCCAAAAUGCACCACUCUAUGGAGUAAAUGUUUCUCUCUUUCAAAUAUUUAUGCGUUCUUUUACACCAGGAUCACCCUCCCGAAAAUGCAUGAGUGCACAUUCAGGAAACCUGUUGCACAGCAGUGAAUAUGGAAGUUGAUGUUAAGUAACACUUUAAGGCUCGCCGCUUGAAACUCUCUGGUGUUUCAAGUCUCCACGCUUUGGCGCUGUUGCACACGUGGAAAGAAUUCAGAGGCUUUUUUCAAACAGGGGAGAUUGGUGACUCAGUUGCACUCACUGUGCUUUUGGCUUUUGCUGUUUUUCUUCCUCUGUUUCCCAAAAAACAUCUGCUUGCUGUUUAAUUCUUCAGUCCUCUGGCAUAACUUGUUCCUUGAACCUGAGGCGGGAAUUAUUACAGUCCGCAGUCAUGCACACAGUAGCUGCUCUCCUGACCAGACCCAUGAGUAACAGCUCAUGCAGCAGGACAUGUCCAAAACAGCACAAUGUGCUCUGGUUUACUGUUUCCGCCCACCUUGGAAAUGUUAUUUCACUUCA
This is a long non-coding RNA of Haplochromis burtoni (Burton's mouthbrooder), 5048 nucleotides long. RefSeq lists it as uncharacterized. The transcript has 3 exons. NCBI's taxonomy places the organism in Eukaryota, Metazoa, Chordata, Actinopteri, Cichliformes, Cichlidae. The record is from RefSeq and is a predicted model, not a curated record.